RNAcentral lists this ribosomal RNA (460 nucleotides) under uncultured bacterium. Its description in RNAcentral is "partial 16S ribosomal RNA". It matches the Rfam family "Bacterial small subunit ribosomal RNA", at positions 338 to 795 of the family's 1533-position model. The record is from RNAcentral.
CCUACGGGAGGCAGCAGUGAGGCAUAUUGGUCAAUGGACGAGAGUCUGAACCAGCCAAGUAGCGUGAAGGAUGACUGCCCUAUGGGUUGUAAACUUCUUUUAUAUGGGAAUAAAACGUUCCACGUGUGGGAUUUUGUAUGUACCAUAUGAAUAAGGAUCGGCUAACUCCGGGCCAGCAGCCGCGGUAAUACGGAGGAUCCGAGCGUUAUCCGGAUUUAUUGGGUUUAAAGGGAGCGUAGGUGGAUUGUUAAGUCAGUUGUGAAAGUUUGCGGCUCAACCGUAAAAUUGCAGUUGAAACUGGCAGUCUUGAGUACAGUAGAGGUGGGCGGAAUUCGUGGUGUAGCGGUGAAAUGCUUAGAUAUCACGAAGAACUCCGAUUGCGAAGGCAGUUCACUGGACUGCAACUGACACUGAGGCUCGAAAGUGUGGGUAUCAAACAGGAUUAGAUACCCGGGUAGUC